Passer domesticus (house sparrow) is the source of this 564-nucleotide long non-coding RNA. RefSeq lists it as uncharacterized. The record is from RefSeq and is a predicted model, not a curated record. Lineage: Eukaryota; Metazoa; Chordata; Aves; Passeriformes; Passeridae. The transcript is spliced from 3 exons.
CAGGCUUGAAAGCUGGUUUGCUUCCAUCUCUGCAGUAAUUCACUUUCCUGUGCUCCAGCUUCAUAGGCACCCAGACAAAUGGCUUGCUCCUUUACAGCACAUUGUGAAUGAAAUAUCUAACAGAAAGGGAUGACCUGGGCAGAACUCUUUCUCUUCCAGGCAAACAUCAGCCUUUGUACAAACAUGUCACAAGGACUGAUAGCAGGCAUUUGGUAAAUUUGAAAAAGAUCACAAACAGUAAGACAGAAGUUAUUCUAUGACAGCAGUGUUAUGCACAGAAAUGUUCAAAUUGAAGCCGGCUCCAGCUGUAGAAAUAAUGGAGGAAGCUCUCCAGAGAACCCAUGUAGUGAGUGACUUCUUGGGUUCCUUCUGACAAUAAUCUGACCCACUAGGACACAGUUCAUGAAGAUAAAGGGAAGGGGACUGUGCAGUCUCAAAAUUGGCUCAAGAGACUCAUACAUCACUGAAGCUGAAUCUACUGUAAAGACUCUGCAGACAACAUCAGACUACAUUUUUUGUUUCUCAUUUCUUUUCAAAAUGUAAAUAAAACAUAUAUGUAACAUA